This 388-nucleotide ribosomal RNA is filed under the name uncultured bacterium. Its description in RNAcentral is "bacterial SSU rRNA". It matches the Rfam family "Bacterial small subunit ribosomal RNA", at positions 29 to 424 of the family's 1533-position model. The record is from RNAcentral.
AUUGAACGCUGGCGGCAUGCUUUACACAUGCAAGUCGAACGGUAGACCCUUUCGGGGGUUGAGAGUGGCGAACGGGUGAGUAAUGCAUCGGAACGUGCCUAGUCGUGGGGGAUAACGUAGCGAAAGUUACGCUAAUACCGCAUACGCACUGAGGUGGAAAGCGGGGGACCGUAAGGCCUCGCGCGAUUGGAGCGGCCGAUGUCGGAUUAGCUAGUUGGUGAGGUAAAGGCUCACCAAGGCGACGAUCCGUAGCGGGUCUGAGAGGAUGAUCCGCCACACUGGGACUGAGACACGGCCCAGACUCCUACGGGAGGCAGCAGUGGGGAAUUUUGGACAAUGGGCGCAAGCCUGAUCCAGCCAUGCCGCGUGCGGGAAGAAGGCCUCGGUU